CACGUAGGGGACGAGCGUUGUCCGGAUUCACUGGGCGUAAAGCGCGCGUAGGCGGCCUGGAAAGUCGGAUGUGAAAACCUGGGGCUCAACCCCAGGCGUGCACCCGAUACUCCCGGGCUGGAGGCAGGUAGGGGAGAUCGGAAUUCCUGGUGUAGCGGUGAAAUGCGCAGAUAUCAGGAGGAACACCGGUGGCGAAGGCGGAUCUCUGGGCCGUAACUGACGCUGAGGAGCGAAAGCGUGGGGAGCGAACAGG
Molecule: ribosomal RNA, 253 nt
Filed under: uncultured bacterium
Lineage: Bacteria
Description: partial 16S ribosomal RNA
Rfam family: Bacterial small subunit ribosomal RNA
Source: RNAcentral